RNAcentral lists this ribosomal RNA (364 nucleotides) under uncultured bacterium. RNAcentral's name for it is "bacterial SSU rRNA". It matches the Rfam family "Bacterial small subunit ribosomal RNA", at positions 42 to 417 of the family's 1533-position model. The record is from RNAcentral.
UCAGGCCUAACACAUGCAAGUCGAACGGUGUAGCAAUACACAGUGGCGCACGGGUGCGUAACACGUAUGCAACCUACCUAUCAUUGGGGGAUAGCCUUUGGAAACGGAGAUUAAUACCGCAUAAGACAGUAACAUGGCAUCAUGUAGCUGUUAAAGCUUUGGCGAUGAUAGAUGGGCAUGCGUCCAAUUAGUUAGUUGGUGAGGUAACGGCUCACCAAGACGAUGAUUGGUAGGGGAUCUGAGAGGAUAAUCCCCCACACUGGCACUGAGAUACGGGCCAGACUCCUACGGGAGGCAGCAGUAGGGAAUAUUGGGCAAUGGACGGAAGUUAAGGGCAGCCAUGCCGCGUGCAGGAUGAAGGCGU